UGAGUGGAAGCCUGGGAGGCACCCUUGGUCAGGCUGUCAGCAGCCCUGUGGAGCAGGAAGGCUUAGUUGGCCCUGUUUCCUUGCCCCGGAGAGCGGAGACCUUUGGAGGAUUUGACAGCCAUCAGAUGAAUGCUUCAAAAGGAGGUGAGAAAGAAGAGGGAGAUGAUGGCCAGGAUCUUAGGAGAACAGAAUCAGACAGUGGUCUGAAAAAGGGUGGAAAUGCUAACCUGGUAUUUAUGCUUAAAAGAAACAGUGAGGUAAGGUCAUUAUGAGCUGUUUAAAAGAAU
Molecule: long non-coding RNA, 287 nt
Organism: Galeopterus variegatus (Sunda flying lemur)
Lineage: Eukaryota; Metazoa; Chordata; Mammalia; Dermoptera; Cynocephalidae
Exons: 3
Source: RefSeq, a predicted model, not a curated record